AGAUUGAACGCUGGCGGCAUGCCUAACACAUGCAAGUCGAACGGGAGUAGCAAUACUCUAGUGGCGGACGGGUGAGGAAUACGUAGGAAUUUGCCCUUAAGUGGGGGAUAACCCGGGGAAACCCGGAUUAAUACCGCAUGACCUCGAAAGAGCAAAGUGGGGGAUCGCAAGACCUCACGCUUUUGGAGAAGCCUACGUCGGAUUAGCUAGUUGGUGAGGUAAUGGCUCACCAAGGCGACGAUCCGUAACUGGUCUGAGAGGAUGAUCAGUCACACCGGAACUGAGACACGGUCCGGACUCCUACGGGAGCAGCAGUGGGGAAUAUUGGACAAGUGGGCGCGAAGCCCUGAUCCAGCAAUGCCGCGUGUGUGAAGAAGGCCUUCGGUGUAAAGCACUUUAAGUAGGGUAAGAAAAACUCGACUCUAAC
This 427-nucleotide ribosomal RNA is filed under the name uncultured soil bacterium. Its description in RNAcentral is "bacterial SSU rRNA". It matches the Rfam family "Bacterial small subunit ribosomal RNA", at positions 26 to 464 of the family's 1533-position model. The record is from RNAcentral.